UACUUAUCUAUGAAUUUGUUCCCAAUAAAAGCCUUGAUUACUUCCCAUUUGAUCCAACCAAGCGCAGACAAUUGGAUUGGAUAAAUAGAUUCAAAAUCAUUGAAUGAGUUACACGAGCCUUGCUUUAUCUUCAUGAGGAUUGUAAGACACGUAUUAUACACCGAGACCUAAAACCAAGCAAUAUUCUCUUAGACGAAGAGAUGAAUGCUAAGCUAUCAUAUUUUGGAUUGACACGAUUAUUUAUUGUGGACCAAAAUCAAGGAAAGACCAGUAAAAUUGUUGGUACAUAGUAUGUAUUAGAAUACACUAAAGCUUAUGUUUUGAAUACAUGAUAAAUUUAGUAUAGUUGAACAAUACAGUGAGUUUAUGUUUUGAAUUAUAGUUGAUGUACCAAUACACUUUGUUAAUGUAUGGUUGUUACUUAUUAUUAUAGUUGAUGUAUCAA
This is a non-coding RNA of Arachis ipaensis, 445 nucleotides long. The record is from RefSeq and is a predicted model, not a curated record. NCBI's taxonomy places the organism in Eukaryota, Viridiplantae, Streptophyta, Magnoliopsida, Fabales, Fabaceae.